Molecule: non-coding RNA, 2578 nt
Organism: Podarcis lilfordi (Lilford's wall lizard)
Lineage: Eukaryota; Metazoa; Chordata; Lepidosauria; Squamata; Lacertidae
Source: the annotation of a GenBank genome assembly
GCAUUUGGUGGGUGCUUGCGGUUCAAGCUUCAACGGCCAAUGCGUGCUUCAGUUUCAACAUCGCAAUGAGAUCUUCUCACGGUUUGGGGGGUGGAAAAAAAAUCAACUAACUUUACAUAGGGAGAGGGAAGCCCAUCCCGCCGCGCCGCCAGAAGAAUUAAGCCCGCAAGGCCAUAUAAUCUGAUUUUACGGCAGGCUGAGCAUCUUCUGAAAAGCCCAGGAGCCAAUAGGCAAACGGCGGAGCCAGAGACUCGGUCCUCAAAUAUGUGCGACUCUCGGGGGCCGAAGCGAAGAGACGCGAGCAGGUUGAACAGGCUAAGCCGCUCCGCCGAAGGCUGCGAGCGAGUGGAUUUUCCCCAAGGAAUGGAAACGGGAGACAGAUCGCGAGGUGGCCCCAUCCUCCCCCAGUAGGGGACCAGCAGGGGGAAAUAAAAGUGCCGGGUGAUUCGCCCAGCGGGUGACUCCCAACUUGUGGAAGGCGCUGCCCAGCGCAGGAGGGGGCCCACAAUACAGAGGUCCGAGGAAACCAAGGGAGAGCGAGAGACGUUCCCAGCGACCCAGCGGGAGAAAAGAGGCAUCUGUUGCGGCUCCCGCGAGGGAAGCGGGCGGAGCGGGGUAGAAUUGUGUGAAGCGGCGGCGGGACUGGAGAGAAGCGGGGUUCUGGGGCUCCAAAAGUAAAGGCAGAAGGCAGGUAAAUCGCACGGGACAACACGGAAACGGUGUCCGUGUGGGUGGCAGGGAGAAAGAGCGACCCGAGAGUCCAUGGCGCGCAUACUCCCUUACCUGGCCGAGUCUCCGCUCGCUUAAGCCGGGACAGAAACAGCCGAGCAAAUCCUCUUUCCCGAGUCCAGCCCCUCCGGCGGCGGCGGCGGCGGCUGUGCGGCUUCUUUCCGCCUUCUCUCGGCGCUGGCAGAACUACUGCUGCCUCCCGCGGCGCAAGGUCACCCGCUCCCCUCCAGUGGGCGAGCUGGCCCCUCGGUGUCGUCGUGCAGCAUUCCGCUUCCCUCUUCUGGCUCCGGGUUUCGUAAAGCGCCCCUCACGGCCGCGGCCCCCCGCGAGGGUUGCAGCAAGUUGCUGGCUCGCUCGCUCGCUCGCGCCUGCCUUCCCUCUCGGCGGACGCACUAGGAGCCUCGGCUGGCACGGCGCGCGCGCGCACACAUACCUCUCCCAGCUGAGCUCCUGGCAGAAGAAAUGCGACGCUUCGCUUGGUCUCCGCAACCUGCAGCCUCGCCUCAGCGCACCGGCCCGGAGCGCCCGGCUCGCGCUCCUCCCAUUGGCCAGCCCCGCCUCCCCAGCCCCGGGCUCCGCCCCGCCCCCCGCUAUGCCAGGUAUGGGCAGAAGUACAACAGAGUAGCGGGGGAGAGCAGGAAGCGCCGUUGGCUCCCCUUCCGCUGCCAACCAGCAGAUUCGCAAAGUUUGGAGGAAGACGAGCUUGCGUUUCUUUUUGAAAUCGAUAUCCGUGGCAGAAGGCGGGCUUUGGAAUCGUUCCCUAGCUCUAGGAGAGCUUUCCCCUGAGGCCAAUCACGUUGCAUCCAGAGCAUUGCCAAGUUUUCCUGGGUCUUUCCCCAUAGCUUUUAGGUAAACAAACACCUGAUCAAAGCCAGCGCUUACCUCUUCCAAGGCCACUUCGUUGGGAGUUUGGGACUCUUAAUUACCUGGUGACAAAUGAGGCUACCUCUCGCACCAGGAAUCCUGGCUCUACAGCACCGGCAGAUCCACUUGGUAGGUUGAAUCAGGAAUCUGCACUUCCUUGUUCGAAGGUUUUGAAGUUAUUUUCAUAAGUGACUCAGCAGAAAGAAUAUAACAGAAGUAGGGAGCUUUCCAUGGGCCUAAUUGGCAGGAGUCCUAUUUCGGUCUGGAGGGGCUGUGCUCCCCAAGCCACAACCACCCAUCCCAUGCCUGGUGUCAUACAUGGUCGGGCAUGGGGCAGGUAAACACACCGUGGCAAAAGUGUUGUUAUUCGGUGACAUAUAAACUUUGCAUGUGCAAGCUCCACUGAGAUUCAUUCCAAAAAAAUCUUGGUUGGAUGUUCCACUGAAAUUAGUGGGACUUUAUACUUCCCAUAAUGUAUGUUUACAGUUGGGAUAUUAAUGUUAUAGUCUUAGCUUUGUCUCUAUCUCAGACUGAAUUACCUAAUCCAGUUCCACCCCAUACUCCUGCAAUAAGUCAUGGCAAAUAUUUGCCCUUGCAUUAAUCAGAGCUGGAUCAAAUCCAUUUCUCAUUCUUCCUCCUCUUAUUGCUAGAAACUGCAAUGCAUUCCAGGAACUCUAGGGUAGUACAUUUAACCUAGUUUAACAAAACAAGGGCAAAUUUACAUUUGUUUAGUAAAAAGAGACAAUGACUUGUUGAAUGGCAUAGGUCAGCAUAGCCAUAGUACUCUAUAUUACUAGCUACAUAAUUAGCUGCUAACACUUGCAUAUGAAGUCACCAUCUUAUGUGAUGAUAAUAACAAGAGGCAGGGUUGCAUAUAUGUUGCAGUUGUUUAAUGCAGCCUUCCCUUCAGAUGUUUUUGGACUCCCAACUCUCUUCACCCUGACUAUUGGCCCUGUCAGCUGGGGCCCAGUUAUGUGGGCUUUCC